Molecule: long non-coding RNA, 731 nt
Organism: Symphalangus syndactylus (siamang)
Lineage: Eukaryota; Metazoa; Chordata; Mammalia; Primates; Hylobatidae
Source: RefSeq, a predicted model, not a curated record
AAGGAAUGACCUUAAGCAAGCACUUCUUCCCUCAGGGCAACAUUUAAAAAAAUAAGAAGGUUGGAUUGAUCAACAUUUUACAGCCUGUAUUUCAUAUGACAUUCUCCUUUUAAUAUAUUUGCUUGAACCUUCUUGAAAACAGGACUCCAUGGACAAAUAAGGUGUGGAAAGGGAAGAUCUCGGUUUCAAUGGAGCAUUGGAUCUACACAAGUCAAGACGCAAAGAGUGGGCUUUGAUGAAGACUGAUGCUAAAGCUGAAUUCUGGACAAUGAGUAGCAAUGAGCCAUGUAAAGAAAAGGAACAUGAAGAACUGUGAUGCAAAUCAACCUCUUUUCUUUAUAAGUUACCCAGCCUCCGGUAUUCCUUUAUAGCAACACUAAAUGGACUAAGAAGGGAACUUCCCACCUUACUAAAGAAUAUUUACAAAAAAUUACUGCAGUUAACAGCAUACUUAAUGAUCAAGUCAACAGGUUGUGAGGAAGCCUAGGAAAUAAGGAGAGUCCCAUGUAGAGAAGAACUGAGGCUUGUUGACAACAGCCAACACCAACAUGCCAGCUACAUGAGUGAGCAGUCUUUAAGUGGAAACUCCAGUCUCAAUCAGACCUUCAGAUAAUGCAUUCCUGGCUGACCUCUGCAAUCUCAGGAGAGACCACAAGCCAGAACCACUCAGCCAUGCCAUUCCCAAAUGCAGAAGCUGCGAGAAAUAAUAAAUGAUUGUUACUGUUUUAAGA